GGCAAGAUGGCCGAGCGGUUAAGGCGUGUGACUCAAGCUUAUGCUUGCCUACUUCAAGUGGGUUUAAAGUCUUCUCAUAGGAGGUUUCCUGCGAGGGUUCGAGUCCCUCUCUUGUCA
This is a non-coding RNA of Crepidotus variabilis, 117 nucleotides long. NCBI's taxonomy places the organism in Eukaryota, Fungi, Basidiomycota, Agaricomycetes, Agaricales, Crepidotaceae. The record is from the annotation of a GenBank genome assembly.